GACAGAGAAGAGCUUGGACUGUGCUGAGCGGGAGCUGCCCUCCUGUAGGGGUGAGAGGACCAAGAGACCUGAGGAGGCAGAACGGAGUCCUCGGGUUGGGGUGUAGGGUUUGAGCAUAGCCUGAAGUUAGGGAGGGGCAGUUCCUCUUGCUAUUCCGUAGGUAAGCACCAUGGUCUUGUAGUGUAUGCAAGCUUCAACUGGAAGCCAGUGGAGUGUGCAGAGGAGUGGGGUGACAUGAGAGAACUUGGGAAGGUUGAAAACCAGGCGGGCUGCUCAGUAUGGUGAAGAGAGGAGUGCCUUAGUAGUGCAUUUCUUUGCUUGUAUGUGUGUAUGUGUGUGUUCCAGAGCCUAGGAGCCUGGAGAAGGCCCUAUCGCCAAGGCUCUGGAGCUUCAACCUGGGGAUGACAAAGUGACCCACAGUGGUGGAAUGGAGUGCACGUGUGGGUUGGUGGGGGAAAAGGUCUGAGAGAUCACAGGAUCGGGGCCUGUUCCCGAGGAAGCAGUAUAUCCUUCGCAUCCGGCUCGUCAGAGUCAUGAAAGGAAAAAAAGGAUUCUGCUAGUCUGUGUGGUUUGCAGAAGAGGAUGUCUUCCUUAAUUGACCCCCCAUAAACGUAACGAACAUAUACCAGGAGCUGUGCCAGGCCCGCCACGUCUGUUGACUCAUCCAUCUGUAACGCAUAUAAUUUAC
RNAcentral lists this long non-coding RNA (688 nucleotides) under Salmo salar (Atlantic salmon). RNAcentral's name for it is "lncRNA (ENSSSAG00000104975.1)". The record is from RNAcentral. Lineage: Eukaryota; Metazoa; Chordata; Actinopteri; Salmoniformes; Salmonidae.